UGGCUCAGGACGAACGCUGGCGGCGUGCCUAACACAUGCAAGUCGAGCGGAGUUAACAAGAGGAAGUUUCGGAUGGAAUUUGUAAUUAGCGGCGGACGGGUGAGUAACGCGUGAGCGACCAACCUUGCACAGGGGGAUAACGGACCGAAAGGUUCACUAAUACCGCAUGAGACCACGGUGUUGCAUGACACAGAGGUCAAAGGAGCAAUCCGGUGCAAGACGGGCUCGCGUCCGAUUAGGUAGUUGGUGGGGUAAUGGCCCACCGAGCCUAUGAUCGGUAGCCGACCUGAGAGGGUGAUCGGCCACAUUGGAACUGAGAUACGGUCCAAACUCCUACGGGAGGCAGCAGUGGGGAAUAUUGGGCAAUGGGGGGAAAAACCCCCUGACCCAGCAACGCCGCGUGAAGGAAGAAGGUUUUCGGAUUGUAAACUUCUGUCCUUGGUGAAGAGAAGAAGACGGUAGCCAAGGAGGAAGCCCCGGCUAACUACGUGCCAGCCGCAGC
This 502-nucleotide ribosomal RNA is filed under the name uncultured bacterium. RNAcentral describes it as "bacterial SSU rRNA". It matches the Rfam family "Bacterial small subunit ribosomal RNA", at positions 20 to 518 of the family's 1533-position model. The record is from RNAcentral.